UACGUAGGAUGCGAGCGUUGUCCGGAAUUAUUGGGCGUAAAGAGCUCGUAGGCGGUCUGUCGCGUCGAUCGUGAAAACUUGGGGCUUAACCCUGAGCUUGCGGUCGAUACGGGCAUGACUGGAGUUCGGCAGGGGAGACUGGAAUUCCUGGUGUAGCGGUGAAAUGCGCAGAUAUCAGGAGGAACACCGGUGGCGAAGGCGGGUCUCUGGGCCGAUACUGACGCUGAGGAGCGAAAGCGUGGGGAGCGAACAGG
Molecule: ribosomal RNA, 254 nt
Filed under: uncultured bacterium
Lineage: Bacteria
Description: partial 16S ribosomal RNA
Rfam family: Bacterial small subunit ribosomal RNA
Source: RNAcentral